This 253-nucleotide ribosomal RNA is filed under the name uncultured bacterium. RNAcentral describes it as "partial 16S ribosomal RNA". It matches the Rfam family "Bacterial small subunit ribosomal RNA", at positions 524 to 776 of the family's 1533-position model. The record is from RNAcentral.
UACGUAGGGUGCGAGCGUUGUCCGGAUUUAUUGGGCGUAAAGGGCUCGUAGGCGGCCUGUCGCGUCGGGCGUGAAAGCCCACUGCUUAACGGUGGGUCUGCUUCCGGUACGGGCGGGCUGGAGUGUGGCAGGGGAGACUGGAAUUCCUGGUGUAGCGGUGGAAUGCGCAGAUAUCAGGAGGAACACCGGUGGCGAAGGCGGGUCUCUGGGCCGAUAUUGACGCUGAGGAGCGAAAGCGUGGGGAGCGAACAGG